Molecule: ribosomal RNA, 245 nt
Filed under: uncultured bacterium
Lineage: Bacteria
Description: partial small subunit ribosomal RNA
Rfam family: Bacterial small subunit ribosomal RNA
Source: RNAcentral
AGAAUCAACGCUGGCGGCGUGCCUAACACAUGCAAGUCGAACGAGAAAGUGGAGCAAUCCAUGAGUACAGUGGCGCACGGGUGAGUAACACGUGACUAACCUACCCUUGAGUGGGGAAUAACCUGGAGAAAUCUAGGCUAAUACCGCAUAACACCUACGGGUCAAAGGAGCAAUUCGCUUAAGGAGGGGGUCGCGGCAGAUUAACUAGUUGGCGGGGUAAUGGCCCACCAAGGCAGUGAUCUGUA